Argiope bruennichi is the source of this 430-nucleotide long non-coding RNA. RefSeq lists it as uncharacterized. NCBI's taxonomy places the organism in Eukaryota, Metazoa, Arthropoda, Arachnida, Araneae, Araneidae. The record is from RefSeq and is a predicted model, not a curated record. The transcript has 4 exons.
UUUAUAACUUAUUAAAUUAAACUGAGAGCUUCUUUAUGAAUUACUUAUGGUUACUGAGAGCUUCUUUAUGAAUUCCUUUGAAUUUUAAAAUGCUGUAAUUAGAAUUAAAUACAAACAUAAUAAAAUUCACUUGGAUGCCUUUCAAGGACUGCUUGGGAAACUUACCUCAAGGCAGAAAGAUAUGAAGUAUUUUCUGUAAACUCAGCUUGCAACUAACAAUGUGUUGGCUGAAUUCAAAUGCUGUUGAUAGAUGGCACCUAUUCCUAAGAUUGGGCUCCAAGAUAUCAAUUGCUCUUUGGUGUGACCUGUUCCCUCCUUGAUAUUGAAAACUUUUAAGAUCCCGGAAUGACAAGGCAAGAGUGAAGUUUUUCUUACUUUUCGAUAAAUUUGAAUUUGGGGCCAAGAAAUCCCAAAACCAUGCAUAGAAAAA